CACGGCAGACAUGUUGAGAUGUCAUAGUGGGAAAAGCACAGGUGUAUUCAAAACCAUCCAUGAUGGCUGCAUUCCACUUCGGAGAGGCCCUGGUACUGUGCAUGCUGACUCACUGAAAUAGCAUACUGGGACACUUUGUUAAGGUUAUCAAGUUCAGCUGUGCUUUUCCUACUGUGACAAGUCAAAAUGUCUGCCGUGAAAAAGGUCUAUAUCAAAUCAAGCUGUCAAUUUACCAAUGCUUACCAAAACAUUUUUGAGAAUGCACUUACAGUAUUUGGAUUUUUAAGGAUAUUGCGUAGGGAGUAGCAAAUUAUUUCAAUUUAAAAAUGUUUUGCUUUCUGAAAUAAAGCA
Long non-coding RNA from Etheostoma cragini (Arkansas darter), 351 nucleotides. RefSeq lists it as uncharacterized. The record is from RefSeq and is a predicted model, not a curated record. NCBI's taxonomy places the organism in Eukaryota, Metazoa, Chordata, Actinopteri, Perciformes, Percidae. The transcript is spliced from 3 exons.